Molecule: ribosomal RNA, 253 nt
Filed under: uncultured bacterium
Lineage: Bacteria
Description: partial 16S ribosomal RNA
Rfam family: Bacterial small subunit ribosomal RNA
Source: RNAcentral
UACAGAGGUCUCAAGCGUUGUUCGGAUUCAUUGGGCGUAAAGGGUGCGUAGGUGGCGCUGUAAGUCAGGUGUGAAAUUUCGGAGCUUAACUCCGAAACUGCAUUUGAUACUGCGGUGCUUGAGGACUGGAGAGGAGACUGGAAUUUACGGUGUAGCAGUGAAAUGCGUAGAGAUCGUAAGGAAGACCAGUGGCGAAGGCGGGUCUCUGGACAGUUCCUGACACUGAGGAACGAAGGCCAGGGGAGCAAACGGG